CCUACGGGAGGCAGCAGUGGGGAAUAUUGGACAAUGGGCGCAAGCCUGAUCCAGCAAUGCCGCGUGAGUGAUGAAGGCCUUAGGGUCGUAAAGCUCUUUUACCAGGGAUGAUAAUGACAGUACCUGGAGAAUAAGCUCCGGCUAACUCCGUGCCAGCAGCCGCGGUAAUACGGAGGGAGCUAGCGUUGUUCGGAAUUACUGGGCGUAAAGCGUACGUAGGCGGUUAUUCAAGUCAGAGGUGAAAGCCCGGGGCUCAACUCCGGAACGGCCUUUGAAACUAGGUAGCUAGAAUCUUGGAGAGGUCAGUGGAAUUCCGAGUGUAGAGGUGAAAUUCGUAGAUAUUCGGAAGAACACCAGUGGCGAAGGCGACUGACUGGACAAGUAUUGACGCUGAGGUACGAAAGCGUGGGGAGCAAACAGGAUUAGAUACCCUGGUAGUCCACGCCGUAAACGAUGAUAACUAGCUGUCCGGGCACUUGGUGCCUGGGUGGCGCAGCUAACGCAUUAAGUUAUCCGCCUGGGGAGUACGGUCGCAAGAUUAAAACUCAAAGGAAUUGACGG
RNAcentral lists this ribosomal RNA (561 nucleotides) under uncultured bacterium. Its description in RNAcentral is "bacterial SSU rRNA". It matches the Rfam family "Bacterial small subunit ribosomal RNA", at positions 338 to 916 of the family's 1533-position model. The record is from RNAcentral.